UGGGGAAUAUUGGACAAUGGGCGAAAGCCUGAUCCAGCCAUGCCGCGUGUGUGAAGAAGGUCUUCGGAUUGUAAAGCACUUUAAGUUGGGAGGAAGGGCAUUAACCUAAUACGUUAGUGUUUUGACGUUACCGACAGAAUAAGCACCGGCUAACUCUGUGCCAGCAGCCGCGGUAAUACAGAGGGUGCAAGCGUUAAUCGGAAUUACUGGGCGUAAAGCGCGCGUAGGUGGUUUGUUAAGUUGGAUGUGAAAGCCCCAGGCUCAACCUGGGAACUGCAUCCAAAACUGGUAAGCUAGAGUACGAUAGAGGGUGGUGGAAUUUCCUGUGUAGCGGUGAAAUGCGUAGAUAUAGGUAGGAACACCAGUGGCGAAGGCGACCACCUGGACUGAUACUGACACUGAGGUGCGAAAGCGUGGGGAGCAAACA
RNAcentral lists this ribosomal RNA (427 nucleotides) under uncultured bacterium. RNAcentral describes it as "partial 16S ribosomal RNA". It matches the Rfam family "Bacterial small subunit ribosomal RNA", at positions 355 to 774 of the family's 1533-position model. The record is from RNAcentral.